Molecule: ribosomal RNA, 256 nt
Filed under: uncultured bacterium
Lineage: Bacteria
Description: partial 16S ribosomal RNA
Rfam family: Bacterial small subunit ribosomal RNA
Source: RNAcentral
UACAGAGGUCUCAAGCGUUGUUCGGAUUCAUUGGGCGUAAAGGGCGCGUAGGUGGUGGCUUAAGCGUGCGGUGAAAGCUCGGGGCUCAACCCCGAGUCGGCCGUGCGAACUGGGCUCACUGGAGCAUAGUAGAGGCAGGUGGAAUUCCGGGUGUAGCGGUGGAAUGCGUAGAGAUCCGGAAGAACACCGGUGGCGAAGGCGGCCUGCUGGGCUAUGGCUGACACUGAGGCGCGACAGCGUGGGGGAGCAAACAGGG